This is an RNA transcript of Spinacia oleracea (spinach), 3942 nucleotides long. RefSeq lists it as uncharacterized. The transcript is spliced from 2 exons. NCBI's taxonomy places the organism in Eukaryota, Viridiplantae, Streptophyta, Magnoliopsida, Caryophyllales, Amaranthaceae. The record is from RefSeq and is a predicted model, not a curated record.
CACCAACUCAAUUUUCCUUGCCAAAGUUCCAUUAUUUUGCUUAAUGAGUCAUAAAAUUGUAAUGAACCUUUAUUCCUAUGCUUCCAAAACCAUUUUUAGAAAUAUUGGGGAGACAGGGAGACCACCUUCCUCUCACUCCUCUACCUCUCUCCGCGAUUCACCUCCCUUCCCUUCCCCUCCAAUUCAUUUUUCUCUCUCCUCUGUGUUGCCGCGCCGGAACGGCUGCUUCCUCGCCUCCCCUUCUUUCUGGUCGCCGCUGAUGUGGUUCUUGUUGUUGUUGUUGUUGCGCUAUUGUUUAUGGUGUUGCUUCGCUUUCUCGUUCUCGUUCCCAGUACAGUCGACGAUCGUUGUCUCGAAUUGCCGUAUUCGACAACCCACCACUCAAUUAGGUAAUAUCUUUAAUCUUGUUCAUUGAUUUGCUGAAUAGAAAAAAACCCUAAUUUAUAAACCCUAACUCAAUCGAUUUUCUCUCUCCCCUGGUGGUGGUGCAUCCUCCCCCUUCACCGUGGCUAAACUUCCUUAGCUAGAAAUUUCGUUCCUGAGGUUUGAAGGUUUUAUGGAAGUAUUGGUUUUUGUGGAUCACUAGCAGUCUGUAGUCUAGCAUAUAGUGUUAUUAUGUUUGCAAAUAAUUACAGUUCUGAAUCUUUUGACAUUUUAUUUGUUUGUAUCACUUACUUCUCCAUGAAAUGACUGGCUUGAGGUACCUGAUAGUCUGAUAGUAUGUAGUUUGCAACUUCACGUGAAGGAAUCUUUUACUUGGAUCCAUCUGGAUAGAUACACUAGCAUUCAAAAAGUUCAGAAUGUAAAACGACUCUAUUAUUAAGAACUCUUGAUUAAAUUAAUAGACUGUCCGGGAUAUUAUCGGAUAGUUUCCCUUUCAAAGGGCGUGUAACGUAGUUAGUUUGUAUCAGUUUCUUUGAACACCCUUUCUAUGAAAUCACUGCCGAACUAGCUAAAUGCCACAGGGCCAUAGUUGAUUUUAGGAUUAUAGUAGAAGUGUGAGCAAUCAAUCAUUUUGCUAGAAUUUUCGCUGCUUGCUCAGAAAUUAAUUUGGAGAACGUUUAUUUGGAGAUUUCAUAUUACUUGCAGUUGCACGGAUAUUGGGGGAUUUGGUUGAUAAAUAUGAGGAGAUGAUUGAGAAUUUUCAUCCAGGUUUGGGUGAUCAUAGGUGGCUGUUGGUCACCAAUUUUGUGGAUUGUAAGCCUUGCAUCAAGAUUAGUGAUUUACCCUGUGGAAAGAUGUUUGAAAGAGAUGGAGAGAGCGUUUAAUUUUGGGGAUAACCAGGUUUUGAAAAUGUAUGGAUUUAGUCAUACAUCCCUCGCUAGCAGGAGAGUGAAGAGAAUACGGGAUGAGCAUUGAUACAGGAUAGGUUAAAGAUGAGCUGGGGUUUCAGGCGACCAAGGUAUCAUGAUCCUGACUUGGUUGGUCUCUAUUCUCUUUUCUUGCUGAUUUCUUAGCUCGUAUUGCAUGUUAGUGUAUGAUUUUGCGUAAGGGUUAUGCGUAUGUGUUCAUUAGGUUUGUACAUAGUAUUCCUUUGUUCCUUUCACCCUUCAACGAAUUUCAAUUGUGAAGUUAGGGUUUCAAAUGUUCUUCAUUUCAGUGUUUUUAAUUGCGAUUUUGAUUACUAAAAUGAUCUCAUUUCCCUGUUUCAUUAGGAUGGCGUAGGGACAAAGCUGUUGUAUUUCAAUCAGAUUCCCUUCACUUCUCUUUACCUCUUUUAGCUGUUGAAUCAGAAACUUGACAAGGAAUCAUUUUACACGAGUUCAACACCUUUUCAGUUUCAGAAGCAAAACUACCUUAUGUCGUUAGCAGCACAAAUAUUGAUGCGUUGGAGAGGUUUGGUAUUCGUGAAGAACAAAAGUUUCAAUUCCUUGGAAAGUAUGUGCUAGUUCAAUCUUUAACUUCCAUGAUUAUGAUCCUAGAACUCUUUACUUGCCUCCUCAGUUUCUGAAAAAUCUGACAGGUGGUCAGGUGAAUAUGUUAACAUUUAAAAGUGUUUGGUUAUAUUUUUCUUGGCAUUGUUUUAGUUGUUUUGCUUGGUAUUGUGUUGGUAGUUUUGAUUAUUUCUGUUGAUCAUUGCUUCUGCUGGAGAUUAUUAAAAUCGUAAAUGUAUAAGAUGAGUCAUACAAGUAGGGACUGAUGGAUUAUAGUUGUUUGUGAUUCUGCUCUGUGUACUGGUCUGACUUUUGAUUGCUUUUGUAAUGUUUCACUGAGUAUUGUUCAGUUGUGUUGAGUUCUGAUCUGAUUCGUUGUUCUUAUCUUCAGCAUGUGAUGUUCCAUUGCUGGUAUUGUAUUGAGCAACAGAAGGGUUUUCAUUUGAAUAUGGUGUAAUGAUUCUUGCAAUUUGUAGUCAGUAUCUAGUUUACAUUAAGCUAAUUGUCUCAUGAUGGUGAGUUUGAUGGCAUUUGCGUGUUUCAGUGAUUGUAUCCUUCUAAUAUUGUGGGUCUUUCUGAAAUAAGCCUUUUAAAUAGCUUGUUCUCCUCUGACCCUGCCGCUGCAUAUAGAUAUCCGUCUCAUUCAUAUCACCAAGCUGCGUUUUGUCUGCUGCUGUAAACUCAGAGGAGAUGAGUACCAUAUAUUUUUGGUUCUCUUCUCAUCUGCUGCUGUUAGAUGAUUAUCUAGUGUAUUUGAUGUAUUAACAUCUAUCUUCUUGGUGCUUGUUACCGGUAAUCAGAGUAUAUAAUCCAGUUUAGCUUCUUUCUUAUGGUAUUGAAGUCUUCAAAUAAGGUUAAAAAUAAUGGUCAUUGUGUUUCUUAGUUUCACAUUCAACGGUCACGAAUCUUAAUUUGAGUUGAAUACUUCAAUAUUCUAUCAGAAUUUCAUAAUUAUAUAGGUUUGUGUAGCAAUGCUUUCGAAUAUCUAUUCGCUUGUGGAUCAGUGUAUAAUUCUAUUUUCCAACCAACUUCCGAAAUGAAUUUCCGAGGAACAGUAUGGUUUAUAUAUAUUAAUCUGAGCAACAGUGUGUUACAUAUUAUUGUUUCAUCAUAUUUCAUGAUUCAUCUGUUUUAUUAUGUUUCAUUAUAUCAGCUGUUCAGCACCAUCAAAACCUUAGCUUCAUCAGAUUGAUUCGAGUCUCUUAGGUGGUUGGUAAGUCCUUUAAUUUUCUGUUACGUCAUAUUAUUUUUGUUAUAAUAAUAUAUAGUUUCAAGCUGUGAGGACUAGGAGAAAGUUGAAAAAGAAACUGAGCAGGAAAGGGUAGGGGUGAAUAGGAUUAUCAAAGACGGUAAGCCGUAAGCUAACUACAAUAACAAGGGACCAAAUGCUGAACACCUUUUCGUGUAGGUGAGACUUGGUCAUGAUACAAGUUAUGAAGUUUCUUUGAGAAGCUUAAGGGGAAAGAACAUGAAUAUAUCUCACAGCAACUAAAAAUAGUUAUUUGGCUUUUUGUAUUAGUGAACUAUACUAGCUUUGACUUGUUUUCUAUCUAGGGGAAAAAAUAUAGAACAUCUAUUAUUUCCCGGUAAACAUAUUGAUAAUCUGUGCUAUGUUCUAUUUUUUUUUUUUCUGCUGCUGAUUUGUAGUCUUGUUUAGUUGGCCUAGGUGUCUCUGAUCUGAGCCUGAGUUGCAGAACUAGGCUGUUGUGGUCUGUUGCUGUUCUAAUUCUUGUUAUUCGGCUGAUUUCCACUUUGUUGAUGUGUGAUCUACAGUGUGUUCUACAACAUUGCUGUUAUUUUCUUGAAGCCCGAAGGUGGCUGCGAAUUCGAAGAAGAGUUGCAUGUAGCAUGUGGUGUGGUUAGUUAAAGUUAUUUUGGGCUGACUUGGUUAGACAUUGGUAGUUUUGUGGUUUUUUGGUAUUGGUUUUAGUUUGGUUGGCUAGCUUAGUUUUAUGUAGUUUUUGGGCUUGCAGGUUGUUGCAAGGCCUAGGAUGUUUUAUUUGGCCGAGCUUGUACAAAAUAUUGGUUCUCUUUUGAUUAAUAAUAUUACUUAUUUACCAAAAAAUAA